GACGAACGCUGGCGGCGUGCUUAACACAUGCAAGUCGAACGGAAAGGCCUGCAGCUUGCUGCGGGUACUCGAGUGGCGAACGGGUGAGUAACACGUGGGUGAUCUGCCUUGCACUUCGGGAUAAGCUUGGGAAACUGGGUCUAAUACCGGAUAGGACAGCUGUUUAGUGUCAGUUGUGGAAAGUUUUUUCGGUGCAAGAUGAGCUCGCGGCCUAUCAGCUUGUUGGUGGGGUAAUGGCCUACCAAGGCGUCGACGGGUAGCCGGCCUGAGAGGGUGUACGGCCACCUUUGGACUGGGGUACGGCCCAGACUCCUACGGGAGGCAGCAGUGGGGAAUAUUGCACAAUGGGCGGAAGCCUGAUGCAGCGACGCCGCGUGGGGGAUGAAGGCCUUCGGGUUGUAAACUCCUUUCGACAGGGACGAAGCUUUUGUGACGGUACCUGUAUAAGAAGCACCGGCUAACUACGUG
Molecule: ribosomal RNA, 468 nt
Filed under: uncultured bacterium
Lineage: Bacteria
Description: partial 16S ribosomal RNA
Rfam family: Bacterial small subunit ribosomal RNA
Source: RNAcentral